Molecule: non-coding RNA, 2875 nt
Organism: Sus scrofa (pig)
Lineage: Eukaryota; Metazoa; Chordata; Mammalia; Artiodactyla; Suidae
Source: RefSeq, a predicted model, not a curated record
AUAUGAAAAAAAUUUACACUACCUAGUCUUUCUUUCCCUUUAAAAUCACUUUCUUAAUUUUUAUAAAAUCCAUUGCUUCUAUUUUUUUAAUCUGAAAUAUUUAGGAUCAAAUUUUUAUAAGUUGUAUAUAAAAAUUAAGCCAGUUGAUGAGAACAUUGAAGUUUGAUCUAAUCAAACACAGCCCUUCCCUAUUUUUUCACCUGGAGUUGCACAAUUUUUGUGACACUAAAACAAUCUUGGUAUAGGAGAUGAAAGCUACUUGUUGAGUUACUAGGACAAUGUAUCUUUUACUCAGAAUAAAUGAACAGAGUUAGUAUAUCAGUUAUCACAGGGAAGCUGGCACAUGUAUCUUGUCUGAAUUUGGAUUUUUAAAAAAUUGACUUCAGAAACCAUUGUGUAGUAUUUUAACUAAAAUCAUCUAGCAGGAUAUUCAGGAAAAAAUCAUAAUGAAAACGUAGUUUAAUAUAUUUACUUUGUCCUAGUUAGGUUCUCUUGAAUGCAGGCUUGUGAAAAAGAGACUAAAAUGUUCUCCUGUAUUUGAAAAGGGUUCUUUUUUCCCUUGUCCCCUGCUGGAGGCACAGGUGAUUUUAAUCUAAUAUUGACUGUGAGAACAUGGUGGACCGCCUAGAGAUAAACCUCAGAAACAUGUGCAGCCUCCCUUGUGACUAGGUACCCUUAGAGUUUUUAACUGAAUUGUCUUAACUGAAAUAGCAAUAGUUUGUAAGUUACAGUUCUGAAGUAAGAGAACUGUAGAAACAACACCCCCUGGCUGAGGAGGCAGCUAUGUGCCAGCCCCUUUGCCUACCCCCUACCACUCUUCUUGUAAGCUUGUAGCAAUUACAUGCCUUAUGUCCUUGCUAGCAGCUCUGCUAGCCAUGCUCCAAGCAUUGCUUAUCAGUUUUGUUUUUGUAAUCUUACUCAGCUUCUUGGGCAGGAACACUGUCUUCUAGGGGAAGGGGAGGGCUGUGCUGCUUGCACCAGGAAAAACAAGGCCAGGAAGUUUGUAUUGUAUAAAAGCUACUCAGAACAAAGCCCAGUUGCUCAGAUUCUGGAGGUGACUCCCCUGAGCCUGCACCAAUGCUGCAUAAACCUGGCUAUUCCGCAUCUCCGAGUGCCGCUUGUCUCUUUCUGCUGCGACGGUUUCUGCAAUGGUUCAGGUUUUCCUAUCCUGGUACUGGUUUCCUCCCUGACCUCCACUAAGUUCUGAGGAAAUAGGAAAUAUACUUUCCAUGCUUCCAGCAGGGCAAGGGGAAAAGAAAUAAUGAAAAACAAAACAAAUACUGGGAAAAAAAGAAAAGAAACGGCCUAUCCAAGGAUUAUGGGACACUUUCAAAAAGUUCUAAUAUACAUGUUAUGUAAAUACCAGAAGGCAAAGAGAAACAAAUAUUUGAAACAAUGACUGAGAAUUUGCCUAAUUUAAUGUCAGAUACCAAACAAACUACAGGUCCAAGAGGAACAGAGAAAACCAAGCAAUAGAAAUGCCAAUAAAUCCACAUCUGGAAAUACCACUUUCUAACUAUCGAAAAUCAAAAGUAAGGAUAAAAAUCUUAGAAAAAAGUGAGAGUUCUGGGGAAUAGAACAAAGGUAAGAAUUAUAAUCUGGUUUCUCUUUGGAGACAGUAUGAGCAAGAGAGUGAAAUUAACUAUUUAAAGUUGUCAGAGAAAGACCAGCAACCUGGAAUUCUCUACCCUGGAAAUUAUCCUUCAAAGGUGAGGGGGAAAGAGACUGUCAGACAAAAAAUUGGAGGAGUUUGGCAUCAGUAGACCUGCCUUGGAAGAAAUGUUAAAAGCGGCCCUUUAAAGAGGUCAGAAACUUGGAUAUCUGUAAGAAGAGAUGAACAUCAAAGAAGGACUAAGUGAAGGUAAAGCAGACUUUUCUUACUGAUCUAACAGAAUGCUUUGCAAAUGCAAAACCAAGCAACACAAAGGGGUACUGAAUAUUCAUGGGAUAAAUAAAUGGAUAAAAGUACAAAAUCAACAAACUAAUGAGAGAAGCUUUGCCACGGAUUCGGCGAGGGAUACAAAUGAAAAAAGAAGCAUGGGCAGAACUGAGUGUGUUUAAAUAGAUAAAAGUUUAAGAAGUAUUGUUCCAGAUGUUUUCAUCAACUGAAAUGUUAUGAAUUACAUUUCCGUUUUUCUUCUUAAGGAGUUAUGUAGAUCAGAAGUCCAACAUGGGUCUCACUGGGCCAAAAACAAGGUACUGGCAGGACUGCAUUCCUUUCUAGAAGCUCUAGGAGAGAGAUGUGUUUCACUGCUGGCUCCAGCUUUUCCAGGUUGCUGAUGUUCCUCAGUCCUAAAGCAAGAAUGAAGAGCUUCAGUUAAUGAAGUGAGUGGGUAAGUGAAAGGUAAAAAGACUUCCAAUACAUACUGGGAAACCUGGAAAGCUGCAUGUAAAUCAGUGAAGUUAGAACACUCCCUCACACCGUAAACAAUAAUAAACUCAAAAUGGCUUAAAGGCUUAAAUGUAAGAUGUGACACCAUAAAACUCCUAGAAGAGAACAUAAGCAAAACAUUCUUGGAUAUCAGUUGUACCAGUGUUUUCCUAGGUCUGUGUCCCAAGGCAAAGAAAUAAAAGAAAAUAUAAACAAACGGGACCUAAUCAAAUUUAUAAGUUUUUACACAGCAGGGGAAACCACACAUAAAAUGGAAAGACUAAAAAACUGUGGAUGGAGAGAAAACAUUUGCAAGUGAUGCAGUCAGCAAGGGUUUCAUUUAUAAAAUACGCAAGCAGUUCGUACAGCUCAAUAACAAUACAACCCAAUCAAAACAUUGGCAGAAGACCUAAAUAGACAUUUCUCCAAAGAAGAUAAUAUGUAUGGGCAGUAGGCACAUGAAAAGAUGCUCAACAGUACUAAUUAUUAGAGGAAUGCAAAUCU